CCCGCUGAACUUAAGCAUAUCAAUAAGCGGAGGAAAAGAAACUAACAAGGAUUCCCCUAGUAACUGCGAGUGAAGCGGGAAAAGCUCAAAUUUAAAAUCUGGCGGUCUCGCGGCCGUCCGAGUUGUAAUCUGGAGAAGCGUCUAUCCGCGCCGGACCGUGUACAAGUCUUCUGGAAGGGAGCGUCGUAGAGGGUGAGAAUCCCGUCUUUGACACGGACAACCGAUGCUUUUGCGAUGCGCUCUCCAAGAGUCGAGUUGUUUGGGAAUGCAGCUCAAAAUGGGUGGUAAAUUCCAUCUAAAGCUAAAUAUUGGCGAGAGACCGAUAGCGAACAAGUACCGUGAGGGAAAGAUGAAAAGCACUUUGGAAAGAGAGUUAAACAGUACGUGAAAUUGUUGAAAGGGAAACGUUUGAAGUCAGUCGCGUCGGCCGAGACUCAACCUUGCUCUUCGCUCGGUGCACUUCUCGGUCGACGGGUCAGCAUCAAUUUCGACCGCCGGACAAAGGUCAGGGGAAUGUGGCAUCCUUCGGGAUGUGUUAUAGCCCUAUGAUUCUGCAUACAGCGAUUGCGGAUUGAGGAACUCGGCGCUUCACGCGUCCAGGAUGCUGGCAUAAUGACUUUAAGCGACCCGUCUUGAAACACGG
This 643-nucleotide ribosomal RNA is filed under the name uncultured fungus. RNAcentral's name for it is "eukaryotic LSU rRNA". It matches the Rfam family "Eukaryotic large subunit ribosomal RNA", at positions 24 to 664 of the family's 3401-position model. The record is from RNAcentral. Lineage: Eukaryota; Fungi.